CCAUUGCUAUCACCCCUUAUCCCCUCUCUCUAGUCACGUUCUCUCCCCUCCCCUUCCUCUGACACACCCACCCACCUCCCUCGACUUCGAUCUAGAUCUAGAUCGGGAAGCCCCGGCCGCCCGCCUCUUCCUCUCCCUCCCGACCACGGCGAGCCACCUUCCACGACGAGCAAUCCGAGGAGCUCCGCCUCCCUCUUCUUCUCCCCCACCCCCACUGGCGACGGAGGCGAGGUGAAAAUUCCCCACCAACCGGAGCGCUUGCCUGCCGAUGGAGGUCUCAGCCAGGCUCCGCCCGCCGUCUCCCGCCUCGACGGCGCUGCCCCGCCACGGCGGAGGGUCCCUGCGGCGGCUGCUCCCUUCGGCCCGGCCCGCCUCCCGAGCGGUCUCCGCCAAGAUGCUUCCCUCCUCCCCUAUCUUGUGGGUUGCGGGGCGCAGGGGGGGAUUAAUCGGUUGGAUCGAGCUCGAAAUGCGGCGGCGGCGCGGCGGGCGGGGAUCGGGCGGCGAUUUGGUCAGAGUUUGACUUUUUCCCUCCCCAGCCGCCGCCGCCGUGGACUCGAGCCGCGCUGCCUACUUUUUUCUCGCGCGUGUGGAAUUCGCCUGAUUUGGACUGGUGGAUCACCUACCCCGGCGCGUCCGGCCAGCUCGGGAACGUAUAGGCGCCUUCCGAGAGCUGCUCCCGUAGGCUCUGCUGGAUCGGCGGCGUGCUCGUUUUGCUUUCCUCUUGCCAUAUCUGAAUCACGCGUGCGCGCGCGCGCAUUGAUCGGAAUUCGGGCUGCACUGCUAGAGCGGCCGUCAGGUGACCGGGGCGGUGCGGUGCUGGCCUUAGGACCCCGAUUCUUCUAGAUCGCCGUUCAGCCUGCUUGAUUUUUACUACUACUACUUAAUCAUGAUCUCUUGCAUCAGCGCUGUGCUUACCUUGUGUGUUGUAAAUGCAGAGAGGUAGCUGGGAUGGAAUUUUGGCGAUUUGGUGCAUUCUGUUGAGCUUCUGCUCCCUAAUUUUUCCACUGAUUUCUUAGUGGAAUGGAAGGUGAAGAAGGACAACGAGUUCAUCUGCGGCAGCUAUCGCUGUGAGCAGUCCAUCCGCGACGCACUCCGCAGCGUCUUCGCCGGGCACAACGAGAUCCUCAAUGUCUGGAAGGAUAAAGUGAAGAAAAAGAAGAAAAGAUUACUAGAAGAUUAGUUUUAGGAUUUUCUUUUAUUUCCUUGCAAUUUUCCUUUUAUUGGAUACUUGUAAAGAC
Long non-coding RNA from Triticum aestivum (bread wheat), 1238 nucleotides. RefSeq lists it as uncharacterized. The record is from RefSeq and is a predicted model, not a curated record. The transcript has 3 exons. Lineage: Eukaryota; Viridiplantae; Streptophyta; Magnoliopsida; Poales; Poaceae.